AGUCUUCGGGGCAUGGUGAAAUUCCAUACCGGCGGUAAAGCCCGCAAGCGUAAAGCACGAUCUGGUGAAAUUCCGGAGCCGACAGUAAAGUCUGGAUGAGAGAAUG
RNAcentral lists this non-coding RNA (106 nucleotides) under bovine gut metagenome. RNAcentral describes it as "FMN riboswitch (RFN element)". It matches the Rfam family "FMN riboswitch aptamer (RFN element)", at positions 8 to 131 of the family's 138-position model. Rfam says of the family: The RFN element is a highly conserved domain that is found frequently in the 5'-untranslated regions of prokaryotic mRNAs that encode for flavin mononucleotide (FMN) biosynthesis and transport proteins. This element is a metabolite-dependent riboswitch that directly binds FMN in the absence of proteins. The record is from RNAcentral.